GACGAACGCUGGCGGCGUGCCUAAUACAUGCAAGUAGAACGCUGAAGAGAGGAGCUUGCUCUUCUUGGAUGAGUUGCGAACGGGUGAGUAACGCGUAGGUAACCUGCCUUGUAGCGGGGGAUAACUAUUGGAAACGAUAGCUAAUACCGCAUAACAAUGGAUGACACAUGUCAUUUAUUUGAAAGGGGCAAUUGCUCCACUACAAGAUGGACCUGCGUUGUAUUAGCUAGUAGGUGAGGUAACGGCUCACCUAGGCGACGAUACAUAGCCGACCUGAGAGGGUGAUCGGCCACACUGGGACUGAGACACGGCCCAGACUCCUACGGGAGGCAGCAGUAGGGAAUCUUCGGCAAUGGGGGCAACCCUGACCGAGCAACGCCGCGUGAGUGAAGAAGGUUUUCGGAUCGUAAAGCUCUGUUGUAAGUCAAGAACGAGUGUGAGAGUGGAAAGUCCACACUGUGACGGUAGCUUACCAGAAAGGGACGGCUAACUACGUG
RNAcentral lists this ribosomal RNA (497 nucleotides) under uncultured bacterium. RNAcentral describes it as "partial 16S ribosomal RNA". It matches the Rfam family "Bacterial small subunit ribosomal RNA", at positions 28 to 507 of the family's 1533-position model. The record is from RNAcentral.